GGGCCGUUCCUCUCCAAAGACUGUUCGGAGGAGACUUUGAAAAGUCGCCCGCCUUUCUCCGCUGCUGUUUGACACUCUGUCGAAGUCCAAAUUAGAAAAGUCCCCAGAACGUACAUGGGAGAAAAAAAGAGCGGCUUUCUUUUUAAACAGUUUUAUUUCUGCAGACGCAUAAGCGAGAUAGUUUAUGUUUGCGAAAUGACACUCUGAUUCAGCUCAGACACAGCUUGAUUAUUUUCUGGCUUGGGAUGCCAUUGACUGAAAACAGGUUGUCUGAUGUAAACAUUCAGCAAAUAUUUGAGCGCCUGCCGGGUGUCCGGCCAGCACUGUUAGCCUUUGGCGGAGCCCGAGGUGGAUAGGGGCAGACAACACACGGUCGCUGUCGCUUCUGGCCUCCAGUGGGCGUCACAUAGCAGCACCUGCAGCCUGCCUCAUCUGAGCAGAUUUCUCAGUGCCAGAACCACCUAGCAGGUUUUUUUGUGCCUCUGUUACUUAUGGCCUUAGUUCCAACAGAGAGGAAAAACGGUGCAUUCAACAAGGAUGCAAAUUUCUUUGCUCCAAGACAAUGUGGUUGUACUUAGAUGAGGCUACCUCAAGU
Molecule: long non-coding RNA, 595 nt
Filed under: Heterocephalus glaber (naked mole-rat)
Lineage: Eukaryota; Metazoa; Chordata; Mammalia; Rodentia; Bathyergidae
Description: lncRNA (ENSHGLG00000043645.1)
Source: RNAcentral